CAGUCGCCGCGGGAAUACGUAGGGUGCGAGCGUUAAUCGGAAUUACUGGGCGUAAGGCGUGCGCAGGCGGUUCGUUAAGACAGAUGUGAAAUCCCCGGGCUUAACCUGGGAACUGCAUUUGUGACUGGCGAGCUAGAGUAUGGCAGAGGGGGGUAGAAUUCCACGUGUAGCAGUGAAAUGCGUAGAGAUGUGGAGGAAUACCGAUGGCGAAGGCAGCCCCCUGGGCCAAUACUGACGCUCAUGCACGAAAGCGUGGGGAGCAAACAGGAUUAGAUACCCCUGUAGUCCCUGUCUCUUAUAC
This 301-nucleotide ribosomal RNA is filed under the name uncultured bacterium. RNAcentral describes it as "partial 16S ribosomal RNA". It matches the Rfam family "Bacterial small subunit ribosomal RNA", at positions 509 to 807 of the family's 1533-position model. The record is from RNAcentral.